RNAcentral lists this ribosomal RNA (468 nucleotides) under uncultured bacterium. Its description in RNAcentral is "partial 16S ribosomal RNA". It matches the Rfam family "Bacterial small subunit ribosomal RNA", at positions 28 to 507 of the family's 1533-position model. The record is from RNAcentral.
GACGAACGCUGGCGGCGUGCUUAACACAUGCAAGUCGAACGGAAAGGCCCUGCUUUUGUGGGGUGCUCGAGUGGCGAACGGGUGAGUAACACGUGAGUAACCUGCCCUUGACUUUGGGAUAACUUCAGGAAACUGGGGCUAAUACCGGAUAGGAGCUCCUGCUGCAUGGUGGGGGUUGGAAAGUUUCGGCGGUUGGGGAUGGACUCGCGGCUUAUCAGCUUGUUGGUGGGGUAGUGGCUUACCAAGGCUGUGACGGGUAGGCGGCCUGGGAGGGUGACCGGCCACAUUAGGACUGAGAUACGCACCAGACGGCAACGGGAGGCAACGGUGGGGAAUAUUGCACAGUGGGCGGAAGCGUGAUGCAGCGACGCCGCGUGCGGGAUGACGGCCUUCGGGUUGUGAACCGCUGUCGCCUGUGACGAAGCGUGAGUGACGGUAAUGGGUAAAGAAGCACCGGCUAACUACGUG